UACGUAGGGGGCUAGCGUUGUCCGGAAUCAUUGGGCGUAAAGAGCGUGUAGGCGGCCCGGUAAGUCCGCUGUAAAAGUCAAAGGCUCAACCUUUGAAUGUCAGUGGAUACUGCCGGGCUAGAGUCCGGAAGAGGCGAGUGGAACUCCUGGUGUAGCGGUGGAAUGCGCAGAUAUCAGGAGGAACACCGGUAGCGGAAGGCGGGUCUCUGGGCCGACUAUGAGCGCUGAGGAGCGAAAGCUGGGGAGCGAACAGG
Molecule: ribosomal RNA, 254 nt
Filed under: uncultured bacterium
Lineage: Bacteria
Description: partial 16S ribosomal RNA
Rfam family: Bacterial small subunit ribosomal RNA
Source: RNAcentral